RNAcentral lists this ribosomal RNA (499 nucleotides) under uncultured bacterium. Its description in RNAcentral is "bacterial SSU rRNA". It matches the Rfam family "Bacterial small subunit ribosomal RNA", at positions 1 to 520 of the family's 1533-position model. The record is from RNAcentral.
UUAGAGUUUGAUCCUGGCUCAGAGUGAACGCUGGCGGUGUGCUUAACACAUGCAAGUCGAACGAGAACGGUACUAGCUUGCUAGUAUGUCAGCUAAGUGGCGGACGGGUGAGUAAUGUAUAGUUAAUUUGCCCCUUAAGAGGGAUAACUACUGGAAACGGUAGCUAAUACCUCAUACUCCUUCUACCUUAAUGGUAGUUGGGAAAUGUUUUUUCGCUAAGGGAUGAGACUAUAUGGUAUCAGGUAGUUGGUGGGGUAAGAGCCCACCAAGCCUAUGACGCCUAGCUGGUCUGAGAGGAUGAUCAGCACACUGGAACUGAACACGGUCCAGACUCCUACGGGAGGCAGCGAGUGGGGAAUAUUGCGCAAUGGAGGAAACUCUGAUGCAGCAACGCCGCGUGGAGGAUGACACAUUUCGGUGCGUAAACUCCUUUUAUAUGGGAAGAUAAUGACGGUACCAUAUGAAUAAGCACCGGCUAACUCCGUGCCAGCAGCCGCGG